ACAGGCAGCUUAGCGCUCGCUGGCCACAAGCCAACCCUCCUCAGACUCAGGGCCGCCCCUGCGUGUGGCCACUCUGCCCACGUUCCGGGAGACGGUGCUCAGAGAGGUUAAGUGGCCUGCUGGAGGUCACACAGCUGUAGCCGCAGGAAUGGAUGGCUGAGCGGCUCUUUCUCAGAGCUGGAAACGGACUCAGUCGCCCCCACACCCCCACACUUCACCACACCGUCCACGGGAGCUUUAACGGGGCCACGCUCACUUGCCCCCAUCCUGGGCCGAGCCGGCCACACCCCAGGGAGCCGAGGUGAGGCCGGCACGGGGGCACCAGGGUGGGCACGAUCCCACCCUCACCCCUCCCCGCCCGGCCUUUGGGAGGAGCCGCGAUUGGCCAGGGCGGCUUCCUGGUGCAGGUGGGGCCGACUCGGACUCGGGGGGCUCAGGAGGGGCCGGCCGGCGGGAGCCGGACUUCCUUGGACCCAAGAGGACAAGUGCCCUCACGUGCAGGCGACACCCCGAGCCCAGAGACGGCAGACCACUCAGCUGACGUCACACAGCAUCGGGCGAGAAGUCCCGUCCCCUUCACAGCCAUGUCGCUUGCAUCAGCCCACGGCGCCAGCAGCCCCUCGGCGUAGCCACGGACAGGGCGCCGUCCACGCGUGGGAUCGCGCCUGCCACGAACGGGAGUGAAGCUCUGACACGCCACGCAGGGGCCGGGGCUUGGAGACGUGGCGCUGGGUGGAGCCACCAACCUUCCUAGCGUCCGCCUGCAAAGUGUCUCCCCACAAAGGCCCAGUUAACAGAAUGGCGACCACGGAGGGACCCAGGGAGACCCCAGGUUCGCCCAGCGUGACCGGCGCCUGCAGGAGCCACUGAUAGCCCAGCUGCCCCCCGGAACCCGCUGGGAGUAGCUCGGGUCUGGUCCCCUGCAUUCCGGACCCCGGAGAAAAUGUUUCCGUCGGUCCCAGGUUUGGGGGUGCCUAGUCAGACUCAGCUGAUCCGUAAGGUCGUGGGGACGCUCUCAUGAGGUCAGCGUAGCUGCAGAAACCUUAGUUUCAAGGACUCGUUCUCCAAUCCACCACCACAGAGACACUGGUGACGAACAUGGUUAAAAACUGUAAAAAGAAUUCCUGAAAAUGUUUUAAACCUGCCUUGAAAUGAUUUAGGGCUUUGCUGGCUACAAUAAAGUCUCAGGGGACCUCCAGGUUAUCAGUGUGCUCGACUCGAACAAAGAGGCUAUCAAACCUUCCAGAGCAGUGAAGAUUAUACUACCCUGUUUCCCCGAAAAUAAGACAGGG
This is a non-coding RNA of Microcebus murinus (gray mouse lemur), 1292 nucleotides long. The record is from RefSeq and is a predicted model, not a curated record. Lineage: Eukaryota; Metazoa; Chordata; Mammalia; Primates; Cheirogaleidae.